Mandrillus leucophaeus (drill) is the source of this 1007-nucleotide long non-coding RNA. RefSeq lists it as uncharacterized. The record is from RefSeq and is a predicted model, not a curated record. Lineage: Eukaryota; Metazoa; Chordata; Mammalia; Primates; Cercopithecidae. The transcript has 4 exons.
GCUUCUGGCACUCUCGGGUGAGUGAGUCUCCGUCUUUGGGGUUCAAGCCUGCGCCUCGCGGGCCCCAGGUUCCCACGCUCCGCUGUCGGGUUUUGGGGUCGCCCUGUAGGUUAAAACCCCGAACCUGCUCAUUCCUCUCGCGGCGUGGCCCCUAGACGUUCCCAGUCCCGUAGCUCCGAGAGGGUCUGGAGGUCUGCGUCCAUUUCGGAUUAAAAUCGUUCUGAAGUGGGUACUGGCCCCUACUUUUUUGCCUUCGCCCACACAAUAUGACCUCAGUGGGGGGAUGCGAGGAAGAUGAAGAAUUGUGAUGAUCCACUUCCUCUUAGUGAAUGACUGAUCUUACCUGAGAAAGAAACUCAGAGGAAGAGGAAAGAAGGAAGAGGAGGGAAUGGCUCUUUCUCAGGGACUGUUUACAUUCAAGGAUGUGGCCAUAGAAUUCUCUCAAGAGGAGUGGGAGUGCCUGGACCCUGCCCAGAGGGCCUUGUACAGGGACGUGAUGUUGGAGAACUACAGGAACCUGCUCUCUCUGGAUGAGGAUAAUGUCCUUCCAGAAAACGGUAACCACCCUUGUACAUCUUUACAUUUUUCCUUGUGAGUCUAUGCUUGUCUGAAUCCGAUCCCUGUUCUGAAAGGGGAGAUUGAAACUUUUUGAUUCAGAGUGGAAAUGCUUCAUAAUGUGGCAUAUAGACUUUAAACUUCCCCUUUCGUCAGAAGUUCUGCACGUAACCAGGUUUGACGAGUGGUGGUUCCAGAACAUCAGUACUUACAAAACCUUAUGGAAAACACUUUAAAGUAUCUGGUAUCAUGGGUUUAUCCCCGUGCCUUUGAGUCAGUAGUUUUUUCAGAGUCUGCAUAUUUAAAAUAAUCCCUAAGCUUUCAGAAGAAGGCAGUUAGUUGACUGAUUUAUUAAAUCGUUUUGGGAAAUCGUUUUCCAGACCCAUCUGUAAUAUCCUCUCUUCAUAGCUGAACAAAGGGCUGGGAAUGUAUCCAGGAAAAGCACAACACAC